This 60-nucleotide transfer RNA is filed under the name Acanthobdella peledina. RNAcentral's name for it is "tRNA-Ser". Lineage: Eukaryota; Metazoa; Annelida; Clitellata; Acanthobdellida. The record is from RNAcentral.
AGGAAUUUAUAUACUUUGGCUUCUAACCAAAAGUUAGGUAAUUAAUCUUAUCAAUUCCUU